This 1049-nucleotide long non-coding RNA is filed under the name Homo sapiens (human). RNAcentral's name for it is "non-protein coding lnc-PPP1R13B-1:2". Lineage: Eukaryota; Metazoa; Chordata; Mammalia; Primates; Hominidae. The record is from RNAcentral.
GUCGGAGAUCAUUGUUCCCGGGCACAGGUCCCAAAUUCCAGCCCACGACCGAAGGCCAAACGUGCCCGUUAAUGAUUAAACCUCUGGAGUCAGUGCUCAGGGACACAGGCAGGGAGCAGCCCGGAGAGCUGCCGGUCAAGGUGCCCGGCCGGGUGGGGGUGGGGCAGCAGCCAGGCCCCGCCCAACAGGAACCAGUUCCUGCCCAAAGCAGGAGGGGAAAGGCUUUUCCACCAAGGGAAAGCUAAAUAUUGUCUAAAUCCGGCACCCAGGACGACACACAGGCUUCCCAUUGUCUGCCACACAGCAGGUCUCGGCCACGGCCCAGGUUGCACCCGUGUGAGGUCAGGGAGGGUGGAGCAUCCCGGGGAGGGGGCCUGCCCCCACCGUCUUCCUCUGCACCGAGGCACAUUCUUGGGAAAGGUCUUAUGUUGCCAAAAGGGCUUAACCACAUGACACAAGUGAGCGUAGGUGGGCACCAGUGAGGAAAAGCCAUCCUUGGCAGCAGAAGCCGGUGCAGGGGCGACGCUUCAGACCACAGGAAGCGAGCUCUCCACGGUGGCCGAGGGCUUUUCCACUCGGCGAGCCUGGGCACCAGUCCCAGCUCUGCUACCUUUUCGCUGUCGUAGGUUAUCUCAGUUUCCUCCUCUGUAAAAUGGGAACGUGGUACCUGACCUCAAGGUCACCAAGAGGUCUACCGAGUGGCCCCUGUGAAACACGUAGUGCCGGAGCCCUGGUACCUGCAAGCUCUCAAUACCCGGCGAUCACGUUCAUUACGAUUAGGAUCACCAGAUUCUGUUCCUUUGCGAGAUCCUUUCCAACUGCACUUUCAUGUCAGUGUUCGUUUGCAGGUUGAUGUUGGACCGUAUUUACAUUCAGUGUUUGGGGCUGACCGGGAAGAAAUCUGAAAGUGGAAGAGAAGGGAAGGCACCGGUAACCUCGUCUUCCCAAGAGGAGGUCAGAGGGACUGAUCUCUGCUUACUGCAGCCUCCACCUCCCAGGCUCAAGAGACCCUCCUACCUCAGCCUCCCCAGUAUCUGGGACUACAGGCG